This 938-nucleotide ribosomal RNA is filed under the name Shigella flexneri. RNAcentral describes it as "partial 23S ribosomal RNA". It matches the Rfam family "Bacterial large subunit ribosomal RNA", at positions 1990 to 2925 of the family's 2925-position model. The record is from RNAcentral. Lineage: Bacteria; Pseudomonadati; Pseudomonadota; Gammaproteobacteria; Enterobacterales; Enterobacteriaceae.
GCACGAAAGGUGUAACGAUCUGGGCACUGUCUCAACGAGAGACUCGGUGAAAUUAUAGUACCUGUGAAGAUGCAGGUUACCCGCGACAGGACGGAAAGACCCCGUGGAGCUUUACUGCAGCCUGAUAUUGAAUUUUGGUACAGCUUGUACAGGAUAGGUAGGAGCCUUGGAAGCCGGAGCGCCAGCUUCGGUGGAGGCAUUGGUGGGAUACUACCCUGGCUGUAUUGACAUUCUAACCCGCACCCCUUAUCGGGGUGGGAGACAGUGUCAGGUGGGCAGUUUGACUGGGGCGGUCGCCUCCUAAAAAGUAACGGAGGCGCCCAAAGGUUCCCUCAGAAUGGUUGGAAAUCAUUCGUAGAGUGUAAAGGCACAAGGGAGCUUGACUGCGAGACCUACAAGUCGAGCAGGGACGAAAGUCGGGCUUAGUGAUCCGGUGGUUCCGCAUGGAAGGGCCAUCGCUCAACGGAUAAAAGCUACCCCGGGGAUAACAGGCUUAUCUCCCCCAAGAGUCCACAUCGACGGGGAGGUUUGGCACCUCGAUGUCGGCUCAUCGCAUCCUGGGGCUGUAGUCGGUCCCAAGGGUUGGGCUGUUCGCCCAUUAAAGCGGUACGCGAGCUGGGUUCAGAACGUCGUGAGACAGUUCGGUCCCUAUCCGUCGUGGGCGUAGGAAAUUUGAGAGGAGCUGUCCUUAGUACGAGAGGACCGGGAUGGACGCACCGCUGGUGUACCAGUUGUCUUGCCAAAGGCAUCGCUGGGUAGCUAUGUGCGGAAGGGAUAAGUGCUGAAAGCAUCUAAGCAUGAAGCCCCCCUCAAGAUGAGAUUUCCCAUAGCGUAAGCUAGUAAGAUCCCUGAAAGAUGAUCAGGUUGAUAGGUCAGAGGUGGAAGCGUGGCGACAUGUGGAGCUGACUGAUACUAAUAGAUCGAGGACUUAACUAAAA